CCUACGUGUGGCUGCAGUGGGGAAUAUUGGACAAUGGGCGAAAGCCUGAUCCAGCCAUGCCGCGUGUGUGAAGAAGGCCUUCGGGUUGUAAAGCACUUUCAGUGGGGAAGAAAGCCUUGGGGCUAAUACCCUCGAGGAAGGACAUCACCCACAGAAGAAGCACCGGCUAACUCCGUGCCAGCAGCCGCGGUAAUACGGAGGGUGCGAGCGUUAAUCGGAAUUACUGGGCGUAAAGCGCGCGUAGGCGGUCUGAUAAGCCGGUUGUGAAAGCCCCGGGCUCAACCUGGGAACGGCAUCCGGAACUGUCAGGCUAGAGUGCAGGAGAGGAAGGUAGAAUUCCCGGUGUAGCGGUGAAAUGCGUAGAGAUCGGGAGGAAUACCAGUGGCGAAGGCGGCCUUCUGGACUGACACUGACGCUGAGGUGCGAAAGCGUGGGUAGCAAACAGGAUUAGAUACCCGAGUAGUC
RNAcentral lists this ribosomal RNA (465 nucleotides) under Vreelandella stevensii. Its description in RNAcentral is "partial 16S ribosomal RNA". It matches the Rfam family "Bacterial small subunit ribosomal RNA", at positions 338 to 795 of the family's 1533-position model. Lineage: Bacteria; Pseudomonadati; Pseudomonadota; Gammaproteobacteria; Oceanospirillales; Halomonadaceae. The record is from RNAcentral.